Haplochromis burtoni (Burton's mouthbrooder) is the source of this 3826-nucleotide long non-coding RNA. RefSeq lists it as uncharacterized. The transcript is spliced from 5 exons. NCBI's taxonomy places the organism in Eukaryota, Metazoa, Chordata, Actinopteri, Cichliformes, Cichlidae. The record is from RefSeq and is a predicted model, not a curated record.
UGUGUGUAAGUGUAUGUGUGUCUGUGUUUUUGCGUUUGAGUGUGCGUGAGGUUCACACACUUUGUGCUGACUGCAGUGAAAGCGGAGGGUCAGGGAUAGUUAGACCUUGUCCUCUCUGCAGACUGAACAACUGGAACAACUCUGAAGAUCUGGGAAACUACAGCAGCUACAUUCACUACUGCGAGUACUGCAGUACAAACCUGAGAUGAUUUUCAACAUCUCUGUUAUUGCUGGGUUUAUGCAUAUCUGAAUAGUCUGCUGGAUGGAGAUGAUGGUACAGAACCUGGAUCAUAACUGUGCCGGUGAAGCUGAAGAGGACCUGGAAAGAACAACCCCAAACAUGCAGCACACUAUGAAACAUCCAGCUGUGCAAGACGAGCAGAAACACCACAGCAGGAAAACUCUGACAUGAAGUUUGAGUGUUCCAGCAGGACAGAGACUCAAAAUCAUAGCCACAGAUCAUCUUCUGUGUUUUUGUUCCUCCUGCGAGUCACUUACGAUGUUUGGAGGGGAAAAUAAAAACUCCCCUUCGGUGUCUUAAAGCUAAAGUAAUGAGCCUGGUUGGAAAAAUGAGAAGAGAGGACAUUGAGAUGUUUGCGUUUAAUGGUGGGACUAAAAUAAAUACUCGAGUAAAUACCAGAAUAUGCAGCUGAAGUACAGUAAUCAGGUAAGUGUACUUUGCUUCCACCUCUGACAGCUUUACUGUAAGUGUGGAAACGUACUGUUUCAUAAUGUUUAGUUUCUUGAAUCAUGAACUAGGGUGUUGCCGAGUUUUCCUGAUCAUCCACAAACACUUUUUCCUGCUCAGAAAAGUGUUGCAGACCUGAAGCACAGUGCACGCUCAUCCUGUGCUUUGGUGCCUUUUUCGUUUUCCUCUUGGCCUGGUGCGUCCUGGCUCUGGUGUGCUCUGGUUUGGCUCUGGGUUUGGGUGGGUCUGACUGUGUGGUUUGACAGGCUCGGUAGUUAGUGCCAGGCUGGGCCUGGGGCUGCUCUGGCCCAGAAUAAUGACUGGAUCCAAGUGGCCAGGCUGCGGGACUGACUGCUGACUCAGAGAGGCUGGCAGAGCAAUUCAGUGAUGUUAUCCAUGAAAGGAACACAGCUGGGAUACAUAAACACGACCGGAUUCAGUUUAAAGGAGACAUAUUUACACAUUAUUCUUUAGGGCUCCACUGCAGACUUUUUUUUUUUUAACUAAAGUUGGGCUAAAAGCUCAGUUUAUCCAGAUUCUUCAGGUAAAAGAACAUAAGUAAUGCUGAGAAAACAAGUUGGCUCAGGCAAGAAGAGAGUAAUGCACAGAGAGAGGAUAUGAACCUUGCAUAUUGUGACUGCGGAGGUUUUUAUUAACCAGCAGUCAGACAUUAAUCAGUGCUGUGAAGUCCAAAGUCCGUCCUAUGUUUGUAAAGCAGGUGCAGAGAAAGCACUGAGAGCCCCGUGACCACACUUUACCAGGAAUCAAACCCACAUCCUCCUCAGGAUGCCUCAACCCUGCAGGGCAUUAAUGCAUGGACACCAUCCAGAGAAAACUUCCCUCGUCUCCUGUGUGGCUUCUAUUAUAAAUACAGGAAUUUUCUCACUGCUGGCUUCGAUCCAAGGUCAGCAGCUUUUAGCACUUUCAGAGCUUUUUGUGGUUAUUCAGAGGAUUUUUCUGAAUGAGCACAGCAAAGUUAUACAGUUAGGACAGGAAAAAUCAAACAUCUGUCUCUCAGUACAGUGCUAACCAUACUGUCUCAGCUGACAGGACAGUGGCCAUAUCACACUUUUAGUGCCUUCACUGAGAGACUAGCACAUGCUGUGUUGUGGGUCAGUAAAGCUCUGGUCAGAGAUGCUCUUCUUCAUUGGUCCACAUGUUUAACCUAAAUCCUUCUGAAGUGAACUUUAAGUCCAAAACGUCUCUGUGUUGAUCUAAAAAGACACAACCAUAAGUCAGACUGGAGCUGCAAGGUUGUAUGGUUUCCAUGGGCCCUGAAUGCAACACAACAGAAAAUACCGCACAACAACAGCAGGGGGUGACUCCUGUGGUCUGACUGUGUAGUCUGUGAGUAAAUGAUCCUGCUUGUCAGCUGAUGUCUGAGCUCAGUAACUGUUUAAAAUCACAGUAAUUUUAAACAUUUACAUCUAUUACUUUGUUGUUUUGGUGUAUUUGACCAUGAUGGAGGUUACUGUCAGGAGAAAAGCUGUAAAACUUAUAAAAACAGUUCAAAGACCAAAAUUUCUGGCCACCUUCACAUUUUUGAAAGCCAUACAUUGGGCCGGACUGAAUUCUUUGGCAGGCCGAUUCUGGCCCCAGGCCUUAUGUUUGUAGCUAAAAGCAUGCACGGUUAGCCAAUCUGUCUGCAGUCAAGUCCAUCCCACAUGAAGCACAUGUGCGUCCUUUAUAUACAGUCUGUGGAGAGUACUGAGAGGUGGAGGAGAUACCGUUUCUAACAUAUAAGGACAGGAAUCAGUGAGUGGGACUACAAACAGUGGCUGAAGCACCUGGAAAGCACCUGAUAUCAGCACCUGUGCUGGCUCCUGCAAAUGAACCAAAGAUAAGAGAAACUUUCGUUCCUGUCCAAGAUCCUGGAGAGACUAGUUCUCUCCCAGCUCCAGGCGUACUUGGACACGAACAAUAUUGCUGAGAAAUUUCAAUCUGCCUUUAAGCCAUUGCAUAGCACUGAAACAGCGUUGGUUAGAGUUCUUAAUGAUAUUCUUGUAAUCACUGAUACUGGACGCUCUAUGGUCCUAGUUUAACUGGACCUCUCUUCGGCCUUUGAUAUGGUGGACCAUAACAUUUUAUUACUAAGACUUGAGCACACUGUGGGUAUUAGAGGCACUGCCCUCGACUGGUUUAAACCAUAUCUCGCUGAUAGAUCCUUAUCAGUUAACUUAGGCACCUUCUCCUCUUCCUCCGCUCCGGUCUGUUGUGGUGUGCCUCAAGGAUCAGUUUUAGGCCCUAUUCUCUUCUCAUUGUAUUUGCUCCCUCUAGGCGCAAUCUUUGAAAAAUACAAUAUUGCCUUCCACUGUUACGCCGAUGACAUACAGAUCUAUUUUGAACUUACUGACGACCUUGCUGUGUCCCUGCACUACUUUCAAGAAUGCAUGCGGGAGGUCAAAGAAUGGUUCCUGAGUAAUUCUCUUGUUUAAAUGAUAAGAAGACUGAGAUUGUGGUGUUCAACAGUAAAAUCUCUCAUGCCCAACUCUGUGCUGCCCUGGGUUCCUUUGCUAGCUUUUCUUGUGACUAUGUCAGUAACUUGGGUGUACUGCUGUGUCAUGGUCCGUGGUCCUGUGUGUGUGUGUGGAAUGUGUGAUGCGCGGGUAACCACACCCCCAGGCUGGGCCAUCACCGGCACACCUGCUCUCCAUCGGGGUGAUUACCUGAAGAGCUACUUAACCCGGCGCUGACGGAUGCUCCACGCCAGUCCAUUAAUCACCUCUCUGUGGUUUCAAUCCGGCGUUCAGCGUCUGCCACCUGCCUGUCCUCCUGCUCAAUUGGAUCACUCGGUGCAUCAUCUGGCCCAUUCACUACCUCCACAGAUUUCCUUCUCACGGACUUCCCUCCCGAGCUCCCACGGUCCCGCUCUAAUCCCUCCCAUGGUCCCGAUUCCAGCUUCCUCGCAUCAUUGUUUCCCCGGGUUUUUUAGUUUCUCGUUUUGCUCCUCUGGUUUUCCCGGGUUGCCUUUUGUUGUUAUAAUAAAGUGUCAUUUUCUGCUAGCGCUUGAGUCUGCAUUUGGACCUUUUUGUGCACGCUCGCUGCAGCGCAUUGCACUGCUGGAUAGCUUGCUCAAACUCAAUAAGCAAGUGUCUGCUGUAGUGAGAUCUAGCUUCCACCAACUGCGCCUUAUCUCUA